AAGACUAUACUUUCAGGGAUCAUUUCUAUAGUUUCUGACUUGAGAAAUGUGUUUCUAAAGUGUGUGGUCUCGCUAACCACGAUGAAGAGUCAUGAUAUUCCUUUCUGAGCGUGAGGCGGAUAGAGAAUAAUGAUUUGGUUCAUAUGUUCUUUAUCAUUGAUGACCGGUCUUUACUUCCUUGUGGAGUAAUGAGGAAGGGAAUAUGAUCAGAGUGGU
Small nucleolar RNA from Oreochromis aureus, 216 nucleotides. Its record names the gene U3. It matches the Rfam family "Small nucleolar RNA U3". From Rfam's summary of the family: Small nucleolar RNAs (snoRNAs) are involved in the processing and modification of rRNA in the nucleolus. There are two main classes of snoRNAs: the box C/D class, and the box H/ACA class. Lineage: Eukaryota; Metazoa; Chordata; Actinopteri; Cichliformes; Cichlidae. The record is from Ensembl.